CUGCCCUAGUUCUCUCAUUGAUCGUAAUCUCUUUGAGUUUCAAGGAUAGAGUGCCCACUCCUCUACAGCAAGUAUCUCAAUUGCACUUUGACUAGUGAGAAAAAGGGUAAAUCUUCUAUUUAUAGUCCUUGGACUUGUGUACAAUAUUGUUAGUUCUGAAAAGAAUCUUCGGCGAAGCUGUCAACAUCGAAGGCAUUGUGAAGGCAUCGAAAAAUUCAACAUGUGCAGCCCA
RNAcentral lists this long non-coding RNA (232 nucleotides) under Musa acuminata (dwarf banana). Its description in RNAcentral is "long non-coding RNA (MACU_LNC005634)". The record is from RNAcentral. Lineage: Eukaryota; Viridiplantae; Streptophyta; Magnoliopsida; Zingiberales; Musaceae.